Long non-coding RNA from Ictalurus punctatus (channel catfish), 2934 nucleotides. RefSeq lists it as uncharacterized. The record is from RefSeq and is a predicted model, not a curated record. The transcript has 2 exons. NCBI's taxonomy places the organism in Eukaryota, Metazoa, Chordata, Actinopteri, Siluriformes, Ictaluridae.
ACGUUCAUAUACAUAAGCCCACACAAGCUUAUAUAUGCAAUAGACAAAAGGAAAUAAUAAGCACACACACACACACACACACACACACACACACACACACUCUCUCUCGCUGCAAGGUUUUUAUUCCUGUGAGUGCACUCAGCAAAGUGCACUGCUGCACACACCCGUUUAUGCUUAUAGCUGACCAUAUGCUGGAAGUAUAAUUACUUUGUGUGUGUGUGUGUGUGUGUGUGUUUGUAUGGCGGGGGCAUGUAUUUAUCGUUUAAUAGGGACCAAAUGUCCUCAUGAUGAUAGGAAUGAUGAAAUAAGGAAUUAUAUGACGGCUUUGGACUUUGUGGGGACCUUCCGCUUGUGCUCGUGACAAAAAGCGCGGCAUUUCUUUCGAAAAUAAAGAGACAAAAGGAUUUAAUUCAGGGUACUGAUGUUCAAAUGGAGGUGACAGUAAUAUAAAUGUGAGUGUGGUGUGUGUGUGUGUGUGUGUGUGUGUGCGCGCACGUGUUCAAUAUGCUGAAGCACCGCACUGACAGAACCGUGACAACUGCGUCACGACUGCUAUAAUUAAUUUCUCCGAUCAUCAUACUUGCAUGCAUUUUCUUUCACUUCCCGUGAUGGCUUGACGAUUUAGAGCGCUAAAAGGCGUGAACUCUCUCAGCCGCACUCACGAGAUGACCUGUUAUCAGGUAAACCCACCCAGAAACGUGUGGUGGCCUGGGAAAAAAAAUACACCUUUCACAUGGUCACAACCUGUGGCUCGACGCUACAGCCGGAACGACCGCAUCUUCUGACCAUAUGGUGGUUUAAAGAAUGACACGUUUACAGCGAGAAACGACUAGCCUCACUGUCGUCUUGCCAUUCAGCUGAUCAUCGGUGGGGAAAUGAAAUCGCUGAUUCAUUCGUUCCUGCUCUUUACGGAGUGUGUACGCGCUCUACUCUGUUUUUUUUUUUCUUUUCUUUUUUCUUCCCAAUAUUAAUAGUAGUAAUCAAAAUAAUGACGCAGGAGCAUAGCGGACAUUUUGACACAAAGUAUCUAAUUGCAAAAAAAAAUUUGGAUUAGGGCCAUUUCAUCGUGGGAUAUCUAACAGCGGGAUCAAAUCGUGAGGAAAUCACACCGAUUGAAGCCAAAUCAAAGUUAGAACGUAGACUAAAUAAAAAUGUUUUGGUGGGUUUUUAAAAAACAACAACAACAACAACAAAAAGUUCAAAGUGCUAUGUAACAAUCAUAUGUGCUUUCUGAGCAUCCAGAUAUAGUCCUCCCACUCUUCUGGGAAGGCUUUCCAGUAGAUUUUGGGGGCGUGGCCCUGGAUGAUUCGUGUUCAUUCGGUGUUCAAGAGCGUUACUGAGCUCAGGCCACGUCGUUGACUGGGGUGCAGUCGGCGUUCCCGUUCGUCCCAAAGGUGUUCGUCAGGGCUCUGUGCGGGACGACGGAUUGCAAGCCAUGUCGUCAUGGAGCUCGGUUUGUGCACAGUGGCACGGUUAUUCUGGAACAGGUUUGGGUCCAGUGAAGGGAAAUUUUAAAGCUAGAGUAUAUAUACAAAGUGUGUGCUUGCAACUUUGUGGAACAGGUUUGAGGAAAAACCGCAUGUUGGUGUGACAGUCAAGUGUCCACAUACUUUUGACCAUAUAUAUUGUAUAGUACUGUUUUUUUUUGUUUUUUUUUAAAAUAAUUUUUUGGCUUUUUUCCAGAAUUCAGCCGGGGUGACAUCUGCAGGGUUUUCCCCAGCCCACCGCACAUAAUAUGUAGGUGUACGAUUACUGACUGUAGCCUGACCCUUUCCAUUUAUGGCUGGGGUAGAGGGGGCUAAAAUUGUCCAUUGCAAUAGACGAGCUACAGUCAGAAAUUGUACACGCACAUGACAAGUGACUUAUAUGAUCAAAAGUGCCCAGUGAUUUCCGAUUACGAAUUCUGGAUUUCAUUCAUUCAUUCAUUCAUUCAUUCAUUCAUUUAUUUAUUUCAAUCUUUAGUCCUUUUUGUUUAAAUAAACCCUGCACUUGCGUCAAGCUGCUUAUCCUGGAUCCUGGCAUGACAGCUGCACUGUAAUGAAGAAUGAAGCACUGCACACACACACACACACACACACACACACACACACACACACACACACACACACACAUCUUUCCCUGGCCUCAUAACAUACCAGUACACGCGUUGUCUCCCUGAGGUACGGGUGUGUGCGCGUAAGGCUGCAGCAUUGCUCGGGGAACAUAUGUGUAUGAGUGUGUGAGCCUGAUCGUGAUGUAUGAGCGCGUAUAGGAAGGAGGGGUUUUACUGCGGAUCUUGGCCUCCUCCUCAGCCAUGCUAAUAAACAGCUACGGACUGUGGGCACAGGGAAAAAAAGAAGAAAAAAAAGAAAAAGAGAAUGAUACAGAUGAAGAGCGGGAGGAAAAAAAAUCCAGAAAGAAGAAGAGAGAGCGGAUGCGUGUAGGUGUGUGUGGGCGUCUGCAGCGUGUCCGUGUUACUCAUCGGGAGCGGACGGAAGCGUCCGCUGCUUUAAAAGGUGUCGCUCUGCAAAAUAUUAAAUGGAGAUGAAGACCGACCGGAAAACGUCAGAGGGAGCACGAGCGACGCAGAGAAUGCAGACAGAGGGGAGCGCGUUCGAGCAAAUAGUGACGGCCAGGGAAUUCAAGCGGACGCCACCUGCCUGCCUGCCUGCAUAUGUGGAAGUGCCCUUACACAAGUGUGGAUUUGCCUCGGUUGCACCCAGCCGCCUGCGCCUCUGUUUCGACCCCAGCCGUGGAUUCAGACCAUUAUUCUUGGUUAUGUCCUAAUAAAGAGACUCAGCACUGGCCGGCUGCAUUAUCGCUCCUGUGUGUUGCGUGUAAUGGCCACCGAGGACACUGAUGCAGCUGAAAUUUUUUGUCUUUUUGGCACUUUCAAAUUCACUAGCGCUGAGAACCUUAGUAUUAUAGCCAUUAAAUUAAAAUGAAGAAAAUGUC